This 215-nucleotide RNase P RNA is filed under the name Bacteroidaceae bacterium. RNAcentral's name for it is "partial RNase P RNA component class A". It matches the Rfam family "Bacterial RNase P class A", at positions 1 to 233 of the family's 367-position model. Rfam says of the family: Ribonuclease P (RNase P) is a ubiquitous endoribonuclease, found in archaea, bacteria and eukarya as well as chloroplasts and mitochondria. Its best characterised activity is the generation of mature 5'-ends of tRNAs by cleaving the 5'-leader elements of precursor-tRNAs. Lineage: Bacteria; Pseudomonadati; Bacteroidota; Bacteroidia; Bacteroidales; Bacteroidaceae. The record is from RNAcentral.
ACAGUCAGUCGGUCUGUCGCCGUUGUCGCAAGGCAAAGGAGGAAAGUCCGGGCAGCACAGAGCACUCCACUUCCUAACAGAAAGCUGUUCGUGAGAGCAGAGUAACGCAGAAGAAAAUAACCGCCCGCAAGGGUAAGGGUGAGAAGGUGGGGUAAGAGCCCACCGGCCGUGCAGCGAUGUACGGGCCGUGUGUCUUGGAGGCUGCAAGUUCAUGU